UAAUACGUAGGGGGCGAGCGUUGUCCGGAAUCAUUGGGCGUAAAGCGCGCGUAGGCGGCUCGGAAAGUCGGAUGUGAAAACCCGGGGCUCAACCCCGGGCCUGCACCCGAUACUUCCGGGCUCGAGGCAGGUAGGGGAGAUCGGAAUUCCUGGUGUAGCGGUGAAAUGCGCAGAUAUCAGGAGGAACACCGGUGGCGAAGGCGGAUCUCUGGGCCUGACCUGACGCUGAGGCGCGAAAGCUAGGGGAGCGAACAGGAUUAGAUACCCUGGUAGUCCUAGCCGUAAACGUUGGACGCUAGGUGUGGGCGGUAUCGACCCCGUCCGUGCCGAAGCUAACGCAUUAAGCGUCCCGCCUGGGGAGUACGGCCGCAAGGCUAAAACUCAAAGGAAUUGACGG
Molecule: ribosomal RNA, 397 nt
Filed under: uncultured bacterium
Lineage: Bacteria
Description: bacterial SSU rRNA
Rfam family: Bacterial small subunit ribosomal RNA
Source: RNAcentral